Molecule: small nuclear RNA, 98 nt
Filed under: Chinchilla lanigera (long-tailed chinchilla)
Lineage: Eukaryota; Metazoa; Chordata; Mammalia; Rodentia; Chinchillidae
Source: RNAcentral
GGAUUAAAUGCUUAUACUAAGAUUGAAAUGAUACAGAGAAGUUAGCAGGGUCCCUGCGCAAGGAUGACAGGCAAAUGCAUGGGGUAGUCCACAUUUUU